RNAcentral lists this ribosomal RNA (465 nucleotides) under uncultured bacterium. Its description in RNAcentral is "partial 16S ribosomal RNA". It matches the Rfam family "Bacterial small subunit ribosomal RNA", at positions 339 to 795 of the family's 1533-position model. The record is from RNAcentral.
CUACGGGUGGCAGCAGUGGGGAAUUUUGGACAAUGGGCGCAAGCCUGAUCCAGCCAUUCCGCGUGAGUGAAGAAGGCCUUCGGGUUGUAAAGCUCUUUCGCAAGGGAAGAAAACUUAUCCUCUAACAUAGGGUGAGGUUGACGGUACCUUGAUAAGAAGCACCGGCUAACUACGUGCCAGCAGCGCGCGGUAAUACGUAGGGUGCGAGCGUUAAUCGGAAUUACUGGGCGUAAAGCGUGCGCAGGCUGUUUUGUAAGUCAGAUGUGAAAUCCCCGAGCUCAACUUGGGAACUGCGUUUGAAACUACAAGACUAGAAUAUGUCAGAGGGGGGUAGAAUUCCAUGUGUAGCAGUGAAAUGCGUAGAGAUGUGGAGGAAUACCAAUGGCGAAGGCAGCCCCCUGGGAUAAUAUUGACGCUCAUGCACGAAAGCGUGGGGAGCAAACAGGAUUAGAUACCCGGGUAGUC